GAAGUGAACUGGAUGACCGCUGGCACACCUAUAAUGUGUGCGAGAGGAAAGUCCGGGCUCCACAGGACAGGGUGGUCGGUAACGCCGACCGGUUGCGAAGUCAGGGAAAGUGCCACAGAAAAUAGAC
RNAcentral lists this RNase P RNA (127 nucleotides) under Planctomycetaceae bacterium. Its description in RNAcentral is "partial RNase P RNA component class A". It matches the Rfam family "Bacterial RNase P class A", at positions 1 to 126 of the family's 367-position model. Rfam says of the family: Ribonuclease P (RNase P) is a ubiquitous endoribonuclease, found in archaea, bacteria and eukarya as well as chloroplasts and mitochondria. Its best characterised activity is the generation of mature 5'-ends of tRNAs by cleaving the 5'-leader elements of precursor-tRNAs. Cellular RNase Ps are ribonucleoproteins. Lineage: Bacteria; Pseudomonadati; Planctomycetota; Planctomycetia; Planctomycetales; Planctomycetaceae. The record is from RNAcentral.